RNAcentral lists this transfer RNA (73 nucleotides) under Diaphorina citri (Asian citrus psyllid). It matches the Rfam family "tRNA". From Rfam's summary of the family: Transfer RNA (tRNA) molecules are approximately 80 nucleotides in length. Their secondary structure includes four short double-helical elements and three loops (D, anti-codon, and T loops). The record is from Rfam by way of RNAcentral. Lineage: Eukaryota; Metazoa; Arthropoda; Insecta; Hemiptera; Psyllidae.
GCCUAGUUAGCUUAGUUGGUAGUGCGUCUGCCUUGUAAGCGCUAGGCCGCGGGUUCGAUUCCCGCCCUAAGAU